RNAcentral lists this ribosomal RNA (1546 nucleotides) under uncultured bacterium. RNAcentral's name for it is "partial 16S ribosomal RNA". It matches the Rfam family "Bacterial small subunit ribosomal RNA". The record is from RNAcentral.
GAGUUUGAUCCUGGCUCAGAGGAACGCUGGCGGCGUGCUUAUCCAUGCAAGUGGAUUGACGAACCGGGGCUUGCCCCGGGGCACACCCCCUAACGGGUGACUACCACGUGGGUAACCCACCUCGAUGACCGGGACAACCCGAGGAAACUCGGGCUAAUACCGGAUGUGAUCCUCUUUCGUAAGGAAAUGCAUGAAGGAUAGGUUCAUCCUUCACAUCUAGACGGUCCCGCGUCCCAUUAGCUUGUUGGUGCUGUAACGGCCUACCAAGGCUGCGAUGGGUAAUUGGUCUGACAUCACGAUCUCCCACACUGCUACUGACACACGUGCCACACUCCUACGGGAGUGAACAUUGGGGAAUCGUGGACAUGGCGCGAAAGCGUGAUUCAUCAACGCCGCGUGCGGGAAGACCGCCUUCGGCUUGUAAACCCCUUUCAGUUGGUACGAAGCUUCUACGCGUUAAUAUGCGGCCGGAGUGACGGUACCUUCGAAACAAGCCCCGGCUAACUACGUGCCACCUGCCGAUCCUGUACGUAAGGGGCAAGCUGUUGUCCGGAAUCAUUGGAACAUGUCGCGUGUAGGCGGGUCGAUAAGUCUGCUGUGAAUUCCAGGGCUCAACCCUGUGCAUGCCGCGUGGAUACUGUCGUUCUAUAGUACGGAAGACGUGAGUGCAAUUCCCGGUGUAGCGGUGAUAUGCGCAUAUAUCUUCGAGGAACACCAGAGUGCGAACGCUCCCUCGCUGAGACGUUACUCGACGCUGAGACGCGAAAGCGUGGGGAGCAAACAGGAUUAGAUACCCUGGUAGUCCACGCCGUAAACGAUGGGCACUAGGUGUGGGAGGUGUCGACUCCUUCCGUGCCGAAGCUAACGCAUUAAGUGCCCCGCCUGGGGAGUACGGCCGCAAGGCUAAAACUCAAAGGAAUUGACGGGGGCCCGCACAAGCAGCGGAGCAUGUGGUUUAAUUCGACGCAACGCGAAGAACCUUACCUGGGCUUGACAUGUUCCUGAUCCCCCUGGAAACAGGGGUUCCCUUCGGGGCAGGAUCACAGGUGGUGCAUGGCUGUCGUCAGCUCGUGUCGUGAGAUGUUGGGUUAAGUCCCGCAACGAGCGCAACCCCCGUCGCAUGUUGCCAGCAUUUAGUUGGGGACUCAUGCGAGACUGCCGGUGACAAACCGGAGGAAGGUGGGGAUGACGUCAAGUCAUCAUGCCCCUUAUGUUCAGGGCUACACACGUGCUACAUUGGCGCGUACAGAGGGCUGCGAUACCGCGAGGUGGAGCGAAUCCCUUAAAGCGCGUCUCGGUUCGGAUUGCAGGCUGAAACUCGCCUGCAUGAAGGCGGAGUUGCUAGUAAUCGUGGAUCAGCACUGCCACGGUGAAUACGUUCCCGGGCCUUGUACACACCGCCCGUCACACCACGGAAGCAGGCAACACCCGAAGCCGGUGGCCUAACCCCUUUGGGGAGGGAGCCGUCGAAGGUGGGGCCCGUGACUGGGGUGAAGUCGUAACAAGGUAGCCGUAUCGGAAGGUGCGGCUGGAUCACCUCCUUUCU